This 268-nucleotide long non-coding RNA is filed under the name Elaeis guineensis (African oil palm). Its description in RNAcentral is "long non-coding RNA (EGUI_LNC034997)". The record is from RNAcentral. Lineage: Eukaryota; Viridiplantae; Streptophyta; Magnoliopsida; Arecales; Arecaceae.
GCUAGAUGUAUCGAUUCUAUCAUUCCUCUACCGCCUAUCAGAGUACUUCACUGUACUCAAUUAGUCGUAAAGGGCCUCUCAUAUGUUCGUCUGCAUCCACUGAUCUAUGCAAAACUUUCAAUCCGAUGGUGACUCAAAACUAGAGUACUCUAUGGUGGACUGUCGAGGGUUGUACAGCCCAUCCCAGAACCUCUACAUGGCUGCCACCUCGAAGGUCCGACAGCCAGCCUCUUCAUCUUGAGGAGUCUCAAAUCGAUAGUAUCCCUGC